UUACAUGUCCUGGUUCCAGCCAGGAUGGGGUUAAUUUUUUGCAGUAUCUAGGAGGGGUCAUGGCUAGGACCUGGAAGUUGCUCUAUACCACUUCACAUCAUGGAUGGGGUAAGGGGAAUGGAGUUUCUUGCAGGAAGAUGAGGUUCCUUCUGGUUGAGGCUUUAUGGCUCUCCUCAGAAAAGAUGGGCACCCUCCAUCAGGAUUGUAGAAUGAGAAGAAAUCACCAGGAAUGUAUCUUUUUUUCUCUCUUUCUAGGUGAAGAAAUGCAUAACUUGGGUUAAUAAUGUUUUUGCUUUAACUAAGUUCCUUGCCAGUAAAAGGAAAAGAAAAACCAACAAACCUCAAACAAACAAAACAAACCAACCAAACACAAACCAUCAAAAGAGUCACCAACAAAAAUUAAAGAGAGGUGCUUUUUCUUUGGAGGAAGUAAAUUUUGCCUAAGGUUUUUGUCUUUUUUUGUAGUUUGUUUAUGGUCUCAGAAGGUCCCCAAGAACUUUCAGUCAGACUUUGGUUUUCUUACAAGUGGUUUCAUAAUAUUAUGGGAAAAACUGUCAACAGAAUGUCCAUUAAGAUCUUAUUCCUAUGCUCAUUGAGUAUUUUGCAUACGGAGUAAAGAUUGAGCAUGGUUCCAUUUUUCAUAGUAUGACUGUAAAGAGCUGUAGAUCCUGCUGAUAAUUUCAUACCGCCUCAAUAUCAUCUUCUUCAACCUUCCAAUUAGUGUCAAGGAAGUUUACUACUUCCUCAUUAAAGGGUACGCACAAUUUUAAUACAUAUUCUCAGCCCAAUCUUAGUAUUUCAGACAAUAAAGUAUCUCCAUGAAUCACUUUUGGAUACAGGACCCAGGCACUUCUGAGGGCACAGUUCUGAGCCUAUAAAGUUCAACUUUUGUCUUAAGGUGAGAAUGUCACCUUUGGGAAAAGUCUUUGUUUCUGACCUCUCCCCAUAGAUGCUGCAGAUGGCUGAAGACAUUCUUGGGCCAUAAAAGGUCAAAAAUUCCUUAUAUUGAUGUGUGACUUAGAACAGUUUGCCUUCCACAUUAGACACAAUUAUUUCUAGCAUUGCAAGACUGUAUAUUUACAUGGGUUGAAUGGUAAAGCAACAAUAAAGAAAGAAGAAAUAGCAGUCACUAGUAGUCAAGAGAGUAUGAUUCAAUUUAUUGACGGUGAUGGCAAAAAACUAAAUAUUGACCUUGGUAGAAAUUGCAAUGGAUUUACAGGAAUUAUCUAAUAUCUGUAUAACAUCUUUACAGAAAUUGUCAAAAUUACAUUUUACAGUUUUACCUUUGUGUAGGAUACAUGUACUGUUGUCAUUAGGACUAUAUAAGGCACGGGUUAUACAGGCUAAAAUUGUCAGAACAAGGCAAGAAUAGAAGUACAAACAACAAAAUUUUUUUGUCAGAGCACCAAA
This is a non-coding RNA of Taeniopygia guttata (zebra finch), 1410 nucleotides long. The record is from RefSeq and is a predicted model, not a curated record. NCBI's taxonomy places the organism in Eukaryota, Metazoa, Chordata, Aves, Passeriformes, Estrildidae.